UGCCAGACUCCUACGGGAGGCAGCAGUGAGGAAUAUUGGUCAAUGGGCUUACGCCUGAACCAGCCAAGUCGCGUGAGGGAAGACUGCCCUAUGGGUUGUAAACCUCUUUUGUCAGGGAGCAACGCCGGCUACGUGUAGCCGGACUGAGAGUACCUGAAGAAAAAGCAUCGGCUAACUCCGUGCCAGCAGCCGCGGUAAUACGGAGGAUGCGAGCGUUAUCCGGAUUUAUUGGGUUUAAAGGGUGCGUAGGCGGGCUUUUAAGUCGGCGGAAAAUUGUCGGGGCUCACCCCCGGCCCGCCGUUGAAACUGGCAGUCUCGAGUUGGAGAGAAGUAUGCGGAAUGCGCGGUGUAGCGGUGAAAUGCAUAGAUAUCGCGCAGAACUCCGAUUGCGAAGGCAGCAUGCCGGCUCCACACUGACGCUGAGGCACGAAAGCGUGGGUAUCGAACAGGAUUAGAUACCCCUGUA
This 466-nucleotide ribosomal RNA is filed under the name uncultured bacterium. RNAcentral's name for it is "bacterial SSU rRNA". It matches the Rfam family "Bacterial small subunit ribosomal RNA", at positions 329 to 792 of the family's 1533-position model. The record is from RNAcentral.